RNAcentral lists this ribosomal RNA (450 nucleotides) under uncultured Glomeromycotina. Its description in RNAcentral is "SSU rRNA". It matches the Rfam family "Eukaryotic small subunit ribosomal RNA", at positions 569 to 1024 of the family's 1831-position model. Lineage: Eukaryota; Fungi; Glomeromycota. The record is from RNAcentral.
AGCAGCCGCGGUAAUUCCAGCUCCAAUAGCGUAUACUAAAGUUGUUGCAGUUAAAAAGCUCGUAGUUGAAUUUCGGGAUCGAUUUAUUGGUCGUGCUAUUGUACGUACUGGUAUUAUUGAUUCCUACCUUCUGACGAACCAUGGUGUCAUUAAUUUGGUGUCAUGGGGAAUCAGGACUGUUACUUUGAAAAAAUUAGAGCGUUUAAAGCAGGCUCACGCUUGAAUACAUUAGCAUGGAAUAACGAAAUAGGACGUUUGAUUCUAUUUUGUUGGUUUCUAGGAUCGACGUAAUGAUUAAUAGGGAUAGUUGGGGGCAUUAGUAUUCAAUUGUCAGAGGUGAAAUUCUUGGAUUUAUUGAAGACUAACUACUGCGAAAGCAUUUGCCAAGGAUGUUUUCAUUAAUCAAGAACGAAAGUCAGGGGAUCGAAGACGAUCAGAUACCGUCGUAGU